GUAAGCACGCGAUGACCCGCCGAUAUCCGAAUGGGGAAACCCCUCCGCUCAAGAAGCGGAGACCGCAUGACGACCGUCAUGACGGGGCAAUACGCAGGGAACUGAAACAUCUAAGUACCUGCAGGAAGAGAAAGAGAAGUCGAUUCCGCAAGUAGCGGCGAGCGAAAGCGGAGGAGCCCAAACCGGACAUAGUCCGGGGUUGUAGGACCGCCGGUAAAGAUGACAUGAAGAGUCAGGAGAAUCCCAUGGGAAGGGGAUCCGAAGAGGGUGAGAGACCCGUAUCCGAAGGCUCGACAUGGAUCGAGGCGGCACCUGAGUACGGCGGGGCACGUGGAAUCCUGCCGGAAUCAUCGGGGACCAUCCCGAAAGGCUAAACACUACUCUGUGACCGAUAGCGAACCAGUACCGUGAGGGAAAGGUGAAAAGAACCCCGGGAGGGGAGUGAAAGAGAACCUGAAACCGCAUGCCCACAAGAAGUCAGAGCCCGUCAAAGGGUGAUGGCGUGCCUUUUGUAGAAUGAGCCGGCGAGUCACGAUCAGCAGGCGAGGUUAAGCAGGAGAUGCGGAGCCGCAGCGAAAGCGAGUCUUAACAGGGCGGAAUAGUCUGAGGUCGUGGACCCGAAACCGGGUGAUCUAGCCAUGAGCAGGUUGAAGUCGGGGUAAGACCCGAUGGAGGACCGAACCGACCCCCGUUGAAACGUUGGCGGAUGACUUGUGGCUAGGGGGGAAAUUCCAAUCGAACCCGGAGAUAGCUGGUUCUCCCCGAAAUAGCUUUAGGGCUAGCGUCGCAGCGAGAGAGCCGUGAAGGUAGAGCACUGAAUAUGCGAUGGCCGCAUCCCGCGGUACUGAGCAUAAUCAAACUCCGAAUGUCACGGUGUCAUCUGCGGCAGUCAGACGGCGAGUGAUAAGGUCCGUCGUCAAGAGGGAAACAGCCCAGACCAUCAGCUAAGGUCCCAAAGUGCAUGCUAAGUGGAAAAGGAAGUGGAGACGUGCAGACAACUAGGAGGUUGGCUCAGAAGCAGCCAUCCUUCAAAGAGUGCGUAACAGCUCACUAGUCGAAUGACUCUGCGCCGAUAAUUUACCGGGGCUAAGCAUGACACCGAAGCUAUGGACAGGAAUGUGGUAGGGGAGCAUUGCAUGCAGCGGAGAAGCAUGACCGGGAGGGCAUGUGGAGCGCAUGGAAGAGAGAAUGCCGGCGUGAGUAGCGGCACGUGGGUGAGAAUCCCACGCACCGAUGGCCCAAGGUCUCCAGAGGAAGGCUCGUCCUCUCUGGGAUAGUCGGGACCUAAGGCGAGGCCGAAAGGCGUAGCCGAUGGACGACGGGUGGAUAUUCCCGUACCCGAUGUGUGGCGAUGGAGUGACGGAGAAGGCUCAGGCAACCAGCUGGUGGAAUAGCUGGGGCAAGCGAGAUACCUGCGCACCAGGGAAAUCCGGUGCGCAUAAGGGGAAGGCGCGAUGCAUACGGAAAGCUUCGGCAAGUACGGAAAAGCUGAGAGCAGGCUUCCAGGAAAAGCUUCUAGCACAACACACAUCGGCCCGUACCGAAAAUGGACACACAUGGGCAAGGAGAGAAUCCUGAGGUGAGCGAGAGAACUAUAGCUAAGGAACUCUGCAAAAUGACUCCGUAACUUAGGGAGAAGGAGUGCUCAAGAUAUGAGCCGCAGUGAAACGGCCCAAGCGACUGUUUACCAAAAACACAGCUCUCUGCGAAGGCGCAAGCCGAAGUAUAGGGGGUGACGCCUGCCCGGUGCUGGAAGGUCAAGGGGAGCUGUCAGCGCAAGCGAAGCAGCGAGCCGAAGCCCCAGUAAACGGCGGCCGUAACUAUAACGGUCCUAAGGUAGCGAAAUUCCUUGUCGGGCAAGUUCCGACCCGCACGAAAGGCGUAACGAUUUGGGCGCUGUCUCAGCUGUAGACUCGGUGAAGUCUUAGUACCUGUGAAGAUGCAGGUUGCCCGCGACUAGACGGAAAGACCCCAUGGAGCUUCACUGCAGGUUGACAUUGGGCUUGGAUGCAUGAUGUACAGGAUAGGUGGGAGGCUGUGAGCCGUGCGCGCCAGCGUACGGGGAGCCGCUGUUGGGAUACCACCCUUCAUGCAUCUAGGUCCUAACCGGAGGCAACGGGC
Molecule: ribosomal RNA, 2121 nt
Filed under: human gut metagenome
Description: bacterial LSU rRNA
Rfam family: Bacterial large subunit ribosomal RNA
Source: RNAcentral